AGAGUUUGAUCCUGGCUCAGAGUGAACGCUGGCGGCGUGCUUAACACAUGCAAGUCGAACGAGAACGGGUUAUAGCUUGCUAUAACUGUCAGCUAAGUGGCGCACGGGUGAGUAAUAUAUAGGUAACGUGCCCUAGAGAGGGGGAUAACAAUUGGAAACGAUUGCUAAUACCCCAUAUGCCUUUAAGUCAUAAGACUGCAAGGGAAAUAUUUAUAGCUCUAGGAUCGGCCUGUACGGUAUCAGUUUGUUGGUGAGGUAAUGGCUCACCAAGACUAUGACGCCUAACUGGUUUGAGAGGAUGAUCAGUCACACUGGAACUGAGACACGGUCCAGACUCCUACGGGAGGCAGCAGUGGGGAAUAUUGCACAAUGGAGGAAACUCUGAUGCAGCAACGCCGCGUGGAGGAUGACACAUUUCGGUGCGUAAACUCCUUUUCUAUAGGAAGAUAAUGACGGUACU
RNAcentral lists this ribosomal RNA (460 nucleotides) under uncultured Campylobacterota bacterium. Its description in RNAcentral is "bacterial SSU rRNA". It matches the Rfam family "Bacterial small subunit ribosomal RNA", at positions 8 to 479 of the family's 1533-position model. Lineage: Bacteria; Pseudomonadati; Campylobacterota. The record is from RNAcentral.